GACGAACGCUGGCGGCGUGCUUAACACAUGCAAGUCGAACGGAAAGGCCCUGCUUUUGUGGGGUGCUCGAGUGGCGAACAGGUGAGUAACACGUGAGUAACCUGCCCUUGACUUUGGGAUAACUUCAGGAAACUGGGGCUAAUACCGGAUAGGAGCUCCUGCUGCAUGGUGGGGUUGGAAAGUUUCGGCGGUUGGGGAUGGACUCGCGGCUUAUCAGCUUGUUGGUGGGGUAGUGGCUUACCAAGGCUUUGACGGGUAGCCGGCCUGAGAGGGUGACCGGCCACAUUGGGACUGAGAUACGGCCCAGACUCCUACGGGAGGCAGCAGUGGGGAAUAUUGCACAAUGGGCGGAAGCCUGAUGCAGCAACGCCGCGUGCGGGAUGACGGCCUUCGGGUUGUAAACCGCUUUCGCCUGUGACGAAGCGUGAGUGACGGUAAUGGGUAAAGAAGCACCGGCUAACUACGUGCCAGCAGCCGCGGUGAUACGUAGGGUGCGAGCGUUGUCCGGAUUUAUUGGGCGUAAAGGGCUCGUAGGUGGUUGAUCGCGUCGGAAGUGUAAUCUUGGGGCUUAACCCUGAGCGUGCUUUCGAUACGGGUUGACUUGAGGAAGGUAGGGGAGAAUGGAAUUCCUGGUGGAGCGGUGGAAUGCGCAGAUAUCAGGAGGAACACCAGUGGCGAAGGCGGUUCUCUGGGCCUUUCCUGACGCUGAGGAGCGAAAGCGUGGGGAGCGAACAGGCUUAGAUACCCUGGUAGUCCACGCUGUAAACGGUGGGUACUAGGUGCGGGGUCCAUUCCACGGGUUCCGUGCCGUAGCUAACGCUUUAAGUACCCCGCCUGGGGAGUACGGCCGCAAGGCUAAAACUCAAAGGAAUUGACGGGGCCCCGCACAAGCGGCGGAGCAUGCGGAUUAAUUCGAUGCAACGCGUAGAACCUUACCUGGGUUUGACAUGGAUCGGGAGUGCUCAGAGAUGGGUGUGCCUCUUUUGGGGUCGGUUCACAGGUGGUGCAUGGCUGUCGUCAGCUCGUGUCGUGAGAUGUUGGGUUAAGUCCCGCAACGAGCGCAACCCUUGUUCACUGUUGCCAGCACGUUAUGGUGGGGACUCAGUGGAGACCGCCGGGGUCAACUCGGAGGAAGGUGGGGAUGACGUCAAGUCAUCAUGCCCCUUAUGUCCAGGGCUUCACGCAUGCUACAAUGGCUGGUACAGAGAGUGGCGAGCCUGUGAGGGUGAGCGAAUCUCGGAAAGCCGGUCUCAGUUCGGAUUGGGGUCUGCAACUCGACCUCAUGAAGUCGGAGUCGCUAGUAAUCGCAGAUCAGCAACGCUGCGGUGAAUACGUUCCCGGG
Molecule: ribosomal RNA, 1342 nt
Filed under: uncultured bacterium
Lineage: Bacteria
Description: 16S ribosomal RNA
Rfam family: Bacterial small subunit ribosomal RNA
Source: RNAcentral